RNAcentral lists this small nuclear RNA (107 nucleotides) under Castor canadensis (American beaver). Lineage: Eukaryota; Metazoa; Chordata; Mammalia; Rodentia; Castoridae. The record is from RNAcentral.
GUGCUCGCUUUGGCAGCACAUAUACUAAACUUGGGACAAUAUAGAGAGGUUUAGCAUAGCCCCUGCACAAGGAUGACACGCAAAUUCAUGAAGUGGCCCAUAUUAAA